RNAcentral lists this unclassified non-coding RNA (7902 nucleotides) under Harpegnathos saltator (Jerdon's jumping ant). RNAcentral describes it as "pHD finger protein rhinoceros, transcript variant X1". The record is from RNAcentral. Lineage: Eukaryota; Metazoa; Arthropoda; Insecta; Hymenoptera; Formicidae.
CUGCGGCGUAGCAGUAGAGUAUGGGCCGGUGUGGCGGGCGCACAGUUCUUUCAAAACGGGUAGCUCGCGUUAUCAAUUAACAUUAACUGCGUGGUGCCUCCCUCCUCUCUCUGCCUCUCUCUCUUUCUCUCUCUCUCUCUUUCUCUCUCCUCCCCUCCCCUCCCCUCGGUGUCCCCGACCCCUCACCUGCUGUCACAGUUUCGACAUCGCGUCGCGAUUCAUCGCGGUGGAGUGUAUCAUAACAAUAACAAGAGUCGAACGUCGGCGGGUCUUUUUUACUCGAGGCGCGCGUACCGGAGGCGCACAUGGAGCACGUCGAACGGCGCGUAGACGUCGCCCGCGAUACGAGAUCGUCGCCGUCGUGUUGGCUCGCUGACCGCGGCUGGAGCCACGCGUGAAAAAGCGUGUAAGGGUUUCCGCAUAAGUGUGACGAAUCUCCGGUGCGGUCUCGGUUCCGUCACAACGCGGUUUUCUCGGGGCGCCGAGUCGCGCGCGCGGCGGCCGCCCCCGCGAACGCGAACGGCCCUACGAGGAUCGAAAAGAUGUGACCGCGAAACCGCGUGCGGUGCGAUCGCGGUGCGACGAACGGGAAAAAUAGUGCGGAAAAGUGAGAGAAAGUGCGACAGACGAGAGGGAAAAAUGACUCGCCGCAGUGGCCGGUACUCCGCGAGGACAGUGUUGCUGACGUCGUUCCUGCUGACUUCCGUACUACUGGUGCUGGCGACCGAGGACACCGCGACCUUGGAGUACGACGAGCCCCUUCCGGCAGCCGGCGAUCGUCCGCAUGUUGAUUCAGACGCACCGGCCGUGGAGCAGCGCCAAGGACGCGUGUCCUUGCACGUGGAGAUGCCGUCGAAGGCCAAGCGCGAGCAGGCGUUGCGCAACAUCCUGGCCAGGAGGCGGCAGAUCCUGAGCCAACGUUCGCAUGAGCCGCCUCGGCUCUUCCCGAGUCGCACGGCGCGGCCGAGCGACGCCGUCUCGAAGGAUCUCCCGGACAUCCUGGAGACCCAAGAGACCCGGCACGGCGUCUACGUGAGCAGUGCGCGAACGGAAGCGUCGGUGGACGAGGAGACUCUCCAGUCGCCGAAGAAGCCGAUCGAAAAGACCGCGAUCGAGUCGGAAGCGGAAGAAGCCCCUCGGAAGGCGCUCGGGAACGACAGCAGCUCGUCGUCGUCGCCGAUGACCACCGAGAGUCAUGAGCUCGUCUCCCUGACGAGCACGUCCGUCGGCCAGAAGUCAAACGAGCCGGACGCGCGACGGAAGAACACCGUGGCGAUGUCGGAGUCGCUGUACAAACACUUCCGCCCGGUGGAGAGCAACAUCCCGGUCGAGGACAUGUCGCAGUUCCUGUACUUCGGCCAAAAGCUGCAGCCGGACGCUGCGCAGAACGGCAGCAGCAUCGGCUCCGGCAACACCUCCAGCCCCAACUCCGUGGAGACGACGUCGACGGUCGCGAGCUCGCGCAGGAGGUACUCUGCGAAGAGACCAGGCGCCACGCAGAUGGCGGCCGGUCCGGUGGAGGAGAUCGUGAACGAGGAGAUGAACAUCGCGCUGGAGCGCCGCACAGUCGAGAAGAAUCAAGUGUCCAGGAUCAAGAACUCCUACAGGAGCUCAGGUAGCGGACUGUACUUCCGGAAAGCGAGGCCCGCGGACGUGGGGUCCAACGUGAUUCCGGGCAACGUCCUGUCGAGUCCUGCGCUCGGCGGCUCGGACGCCAAGAGCGAGAUCAACACGGUGGACGAGAAGCUGCGCGCCGACCCGUCCGCUCACGCGGACCGGGCCACGCGGGAGAGAGGAAGCGAAGCCCACGUGGCUGAGCCGAGCAUGACGACCCAGAUUCCACGGCAACGUCAGCGGCAGCUUUCGGCCGCGGACGGUAACGUGGACGACGGCGACGCGAAGAGCGAGCUGAAGACGGACGAGACGGCUCGCGCGGACACUUCGCGCGGAGUCGCCGAGGGCGGUCGGAAGAGAACGAGUGACCUUGGCGGGAACGUCGCAGAAUUCAAGACCGAAAAACAGAGGGAAGCUGAAGAAGAAACAGUCGACGGAGCGAAGACGGGGCCGACAACCGCGGAGAAGCCGCCGGAACAGAAGACGGCGACUGGUGACCUCGAAGUGACCACCUCAUCAGCACCAGAAGCCAGCUCGAGGUCUCGCGACAACAACAGCAACAUCAUCGAGACGUCGCCGGCGACGCGCGACGCCGACACGAAGACGAGCCCGUCGCAGCGCGCCGAGUCGUCGACGCUGCGGAUCGUCGUGCCGGACGAGAGCUUCGGGCGCAGUUUCGCGAUCGAGAGCGAGCGGGCUCGUCAAGGUACCGUUAAGCAACCGGUCGAUCCCGCGGCGGAUCGACCGGUUCGCGUGUCGGCCGCCAGCGACGUCGCCCCGAAAUCGCCGUCUUCUCCGUCGACCACGGUCGCACCUGCCGCCCCCAGUCGUCGUCAACAGCGGCAGCAACAGCAGCAACAAGCGCACCAGCAGCAACACGUGUAUGCUUACACGAUAACCAACGUGACGCGAUUGUUGCGCAACUACACCGGGUCUGGAUCCAGCGGCGAAGAACGAGGAGCUGGAGGAGGAGAAGGAGGAGCAGAAGGAGAAGGAGGAGGAGGAGGAGGAGGAAGAGGAGGAGAAGGUGAAGGUGGAGGAGAAACAGAAGGAGGCGCAGGUCGUCGUAGUAGCGGUGCCAAGAUAACGAGCGGUGAACCGUCGCAGCGGCGUCAGCAGCAACAGCAACAGCCGCCGCCGCCGCCGCCGCCGCCGCCGCAGUCUUCUCCUCUUCUGCUUCCUCGUGCUGGCGACGGUAUAGACCCGGCGCGAGCGCCGGCGGGACUCAGUGCUGGCGCGACCGUCGAGCCAGCCGCAACUGUUGGAACGUCGCCAGGUGCCGUGGUCGGUCUAGUGGGGGAACGAGCGAGGAAAGUAGUCCCGCAAGUGCAGCAGCAGCAGCAGCAGCAGCAGCAGCAACGCGUGACCAGUCAACGGGCGAUCUGGUCGGCGCAGGCAGCUCCGAACGACAGCCUCGCGCUGCCGACGUCGAGGCCCGCGAAGCCGACGGAGGCCGCGAGCAGCAGAGGCUCCGUGAGGUGGAGUCUCGUCAAGCCGAAGAUCAGCGAGCAAGAGGUUGCGAAUGACCGUAGAUUCCUGAGGAAGAGCGCUAGCGCGGUGCUGAACCAGCGCUCGACCGUCCACGAGGAGGUCCCGUCGCCGCUGGCGAGCAAGCGUCGUCGAGUGUUGACUUCUCCGAGUGGGCUGUCCACUUCGCCGCCAACGAGCAGAAGGGUGAAGUCGAGUGAGCGGCCCGAGGGUGCCAAGGUAGGCAGGGUGUUAGUGGUGGACGAUCGAUCGGACAACAGGACGGUUGCGAGUCGCGGCAAGGCUCCGGACGAUGAAGUGCCGGCUCCUGCGGAAGUCGCGCGCGCCAGCGGGCUGAACGAAGUGCCGCGCGACAGCAGUGUGCAGGAGACGACCGCGGUUAGCAGCAGCGUCCUCGCGACAGCAGCCAUGGUGAACUCGAGCCGCAACUCCAGCGCAACCGGCGAGGCGAUGGACGCGACCGAGCCGUCGGUGCUUUUAGACUCGGCCGCGACAACGGAGGAGGACAGGCCCGACGUACUCGUCGCGGACGAGGACGUCGUCACCGCAUCGAGUGCAGCCGACAGGGGUGGCGUCGGGCGUACCGUGACGCCCGACAAGGGCGAGAGUGACGCGAACACGACGACGAGCGAAGAGAUCGCGACGAUUGUGGCAGUGAGCGAGCAGGUCGCUGAGACGACGAUGAGCACGACGUCGACGACGUCUACGUCACCGGCGGCGCCGGUUUUCCCGGUCACGCCGAGGAUACUGGCGGAAACGGACAAGACCACCGCCGGGGAAGCUUCCACCCUGAGGCCGUCGGACGGCUCGAAGCCGCGGGAGGUGAAUAACCAGCCGUCCGGCAUUACGACCGACUUGGAUCCUUCGGAAAUCCAGAAGAGGUACCGAGCCAAGGAGAUGACCAGCGCCACGCCGGCUCCGCCGACGACAACGGCUUCGCCGGGCGGGGACGACUCUGGUCCCGCGGUCGACGCGAGCCCAAGCUCGACCGGCGAGCCGGAAGUGCCGAGCGUGUCGGCUUCAAAGGGGAGCGGAAGGCGCGUAUCCGGCGAGAGGUCGCCGGAAGUCCGAGCGCGCAACCUGUCGGACAAGUCGAAGGACAAGGACGAGGAUGUGCUGCCAAUCAUGCACUUGUACAACACGUCGGACAUCUUCAACGGCAGCGGGCCGAUGGACGGCUUCGCCCGCGGCACGGAGCGGCCACGGCUGGUGCUUCCGGUGAGCUCCGGCUCAAAGGACGAGGCGACGGCGGCUCCGACGCCCGCAAAGAAGAGCACGUCUGAGCCGGCUACGAGGCUGGCCGGUGCGACGGAAGUCGCUCCCGGCGGAAGCACGUCCACCACCACCGUCGCCAAAGCGAAGGAGCCCACCGCGAGCCCGCCGAGCUCUCGGAAGGACAAGCAUGAGGAGCAGCGCGAGUCGCAGGACACCAGCGCUCCAGCGUCCCGGGGAGCGUCCACCUUCGCGCCUGCGAGCGGUAACAGGACGAGGUACAGGCCGUCAUAUCACCACUCGAUCCUGCCGGAGUACAACGGCACGAUGUACUCCGCCGGGUUGAACAGGACGUUCCUCGAGAUCGGCCCGAUCUCGGUGAGCCCGCGCGAAUCGAUGAACAUCAGUGAGGUGAUAUCGAAGCGGCACGACGGCGACGCGAUCGCCACCCAGGAGACGGUCGCCGUGGUCAGCUACAUCUUGGCCACCCUCGUCGUCUUCCCCAUCGCCGUCGGCGUCGGGCUCAUACUCAGAAGACUGAUACUUAGGAAUCGUAAGGUGCUAGAGGAGUCGGACACGUCAUCGGAGAUAAGCUGCAGGAAGGACGCUCUUAAUCUCGAGAACGGCGACUUCAAGACGUCCAUCGAGAAGGCGAUCACGAAGCUACCGAGGAUACAGCACUUGUGUCACGAAGCUGAGAAACCGCCGCCUUCGUCGAGCCAGGAAUCCAGAUGGGAGUUUCCUAGAGAUAAGCUUAGGUUACAGACAGUCCUCGGGCAAGGAAACUUCGGCCAGGUGUGGAAAGCCGAGGCCGACGAUCUGACCGGUCAUCAAGGUACCACUCGCUUGGUAGCAGUGAAAACCGUCAAGGAAGGCGCCUCCGAUCGGGAGAAGGAGGACCUGGUCCGGGAACUCGAAAUCAUGCAGCAACUGGGGAGCCAUCCGAACGUUGUGACGCUUUUAGGCUGCUGCACCGAAGAAGAGCCUCAUUAUCUCAUACUGGAGUACGUCAUGUACGGCAAGCUGCUGGCGUACCUGCGCGACCACCGCACCAGACAGUACUUCUACAACUUCAGCGAGGACUCCGCGGCCUUGACGUCCAGGGACCUCACCGUUUUCGGCUAUUGCGUCGCCAGAGGCAUGGAGUACCUCGCGUCGAAGAAGAUCAUUCACCGCGACCUCGCCGCCAGGAACGUCCUCGUGGACCACAAUAAGCUGUGCAAGAUCGCCGACUUCGGCAUGUCGAGGUUCGCCAAUGAGGACGGGGAGGUGAUCGAGACCAGGCACGGCAGGAACGCCUUGCCCAUCCGAUGGAUGGCCCCCGAGUCCUUGAUCUACUCCCUUUUCACGACCAAGACAGACGUGUGGAGCUUCGGGAUCCUCAUGUGGGAGAUCGUCACUUUAGGCUCGACACCGUACCCGGAUAUGACGGCGCGGGAAGUCAUGCGGAACGUGCACAACGGUUAUCGGCUGGAGAGGCCUUCGCACUGCCGAAGCGAGCUCUUCAGGGUGAUAUCGCGCUGUUGGCACGCUGAUCCCGACCGCAGGCCGGAAUUCCAGACCCUACGCAGGGAUCUCGCUCAGCUGCUGGAGGACAACAUGAAUGGGCACUAUGUGGACCUCGAGAGCUUCGCUUCCGAGUGCACCGAUUGAGGCGAUCGCACCCUCCCCCUCUUCCCAUCAUCCCUCCCCCCAUCGUCGGGGGACGGAAAGGCACGUCGUUGGAUCCUCGCCGACCGCAUCGCCCCGACCGCCGUGGGAAAUCGAUUUCGCGCGGGAGACGCCGCGCUGACGCGCGAUUGAUGAUUGCGCCGUGCGAGAUAGAUGGAUGGAUGGACAGACGACGUGCGUCUUUCUUCCUCUCUCUCUCUCUCUCUCUUUCUCUCUCUCUCUCUCUCUCUCUCUCUCUCUCUCUCUCUUUCUCUCUCUCUCUCUCUCUCUCUUUUUUUGCUCAAGGAAGAGAGAAAGAGAAAGAAAGAGGGAGACGUUGCCGCGGUAGCUCGAUCCCCGCGAAAGCGAGUUCGGAAGCUCUGCUCUUCUGCGGGGAGAAGCACGAUGCCGAGAUCGCCGCAGGAGAAGUCGAGGGAGAUUUGAGAAUCCGCUUUCUUUUUUCCCUUUCAUGUUCACGCGGGUGGUGCUCUCGAGCUCGUCGAAGCUCUUAUCACGAGACGCUGGACUCUUAUCACUGGCGACUGUUGCGCGCGCGUGCACGCAACGAGAAUGGAAGCAUACGCUUGAGAAUGGAAGCAGGGAUGUUAAUUGAUCGGCAGUUUCUUUUUGUUUUUGGAGACGAAGGAGGAAUGUCGUCACGAACCGACGAUCUCUCGCCGAUUCGCUCGCGGUAAUCUGAAGGGUCGUUAAUUAGCUGUUAUCGAAGUUACGCUCGGUAAUACUGAGACGAAUCGAUCGUACAAAUCUAGACAGAUUGGCAGACAGGAAUUCAUCACUCUUCCGUCAAGACUUUUCUUCACGUUCUGUGAUUGGGAUGAAUGAGAUGUGUGAACGGUGACGAAUACUGUGAAUAGACUCGAAUAGACUGGACGAUUAGUGAGAAUCAGACUUUAUCCACGAAUCGAGAAAAAAGGUUGCGAGACCGCAGCGAACGGUCAUGCAUUUUCAACAGUUCCGUCCGAGAUCUGUCUUUCGCUUUCGGUACUUAUUUAUUACCCCGAAGCGCGAUUACGCACGCUUCGGGAAAUACAGGAAGUGGAGAAUUACAUAUUACGGAGGAAGAGUAACAGUCCGAAGACACAACGGGACUCGAUUCCGCGUCGAGACAUAUCUGUACAUAUUGUAUCCCUCGCGCUAUACAUAACUGUAGAUGUAUGCAGGACAGAAAUGCGAAACGCACUUUAUAUCCGCCGGAAAUCAAAGGAAGAAGCAAGUGUCCUCACACGUACACGUAUACACACAUACACGCACACGCAGACACACAAGCAGACAGACGUACAAUUUCUGUUAACGUACCGUUAAUAAUCUUAUCAUCGCUACAAUUAAUUAAUUAAUUGCUCGUUAGGUGUACGUGCAUCCAUGUUUCCAAUCGCGUCCGCCGCGUUUAUAUUCUUAAUCAUUCUAGUCUUUCGACGCGUUCUGGGGACGGCGAUUGGCAAUAUAUAUACAUAUAUCGUAUGUAAUCGCAAGCGCACGCCGUCUUUCAGCAUCUCCCUCGCGCCGACGAACGCCACGAAUCGUCCGAAGUUCGCUCGAAUCCCGGCGACAACAGGUGCGUCGCGCGAUCGCUCCGGAGAACGGAUUAUAGAAGCCCCCACCAGUUGAUUAUUUUAUUAAGUAUUUUUAUCUCGCUGUCUCUCUUUCUCUCUUUCUCUCCGAGAUGUCGUCGUUGGAAAAACUCCCGUCUACCGUUGUUGCUCGAGACGUCUCGUCGUUCUCGAAGUUCCGCUGCAUUUUAAACGUACAGGAAAAAUAAAGAAGAAGAAAGAAAGGGAGAAAGAGAGAGAGAGAGAGAGAGAGAGAGAGAGAGAGAGAGAGCUGUUACUUUCGCAGAAGAUCGGCUGCGAGCAACAUUGUAUGUAGACUUGAUUGUACUAAGAACUUUUGUCAGUAAACGUUGUGAGAAAACUUAAACGA